This 492-nucleotide ribosomal RNA is filed under the name uncultured bacterium. Its description in RNAcentral is "bacterial SSU rRNA". It matches the Rfam family "Bacterial small subunit ribosomal RNA", at positions 28 to 513 of the family's 1533-position model. The record is from RNAcentral.
GAUGAACGCUAGCUACAGGCUUAACACAUGCAAGUCGAGGGGCAGCGCAGUGUAGCAAUACAUGGGCGGCGACCGGCGCACGGGUGCGUAACGCGUGUCCAACCUUCCCGUUACUCAGGGAUAGCCUUCCGAAAGGGAGAUUAAUACCUGAUGGUAUCAGAAUUUCGCAUGUUAUUCUGAUUAAAGAUUUAUCGGUAACGGAUGGAGAUGCGUGACAUUAGGUAGAUGGCGGGGUAACGGCCCACCAUGCCUACGAUGUCUAGGGGUUCUGAGAGGAAGGUCCCCCACACUGGAACUGAGACACGGUCCAGACUCCUACGGGAGGCAGCAGUGAGGAAUAUUGGUCAAUGGGCGCAAGCCUGAACCAGCCAAGUAGCGUGAAGGAUGACUGCCCUACGGGUUGUAAACCUCUUUUGUCGGGGAAUAAACUGCGCCACGCGUGGCGCCCUGCAUGUACCCGCAGAAUAAGGACCGGCUAAUUCCGUGCCAGCA